Molecule: unclassified non-coding RNA, 338 nt
Filed under: uncultured fungus
Lineage: Eukaryota; Fungi
Description: partial contains 5.8S ribosomal RNA and internal transcribed spacer 2
Rfam family: 5.8S ribosomal RNA (bases 1-133)
Source: RNAcentral
UGGUUCUGGCAUCGAUGAAGAACGCAGCGAAAUGCGAUAAGUAAUGUGAAUUGCAGAAUUCAGUGAAUCAUCGAAUCUUUGAACGCACAUUGCGCCCGCCAGUAUUCUGGCGGGCAUGCCUGUUCGAGCGUCAUUUCAACCCUCAGGCCCCCCGUUUUCGGGGCGGACUGGUGUUGGGGAUCGGCCCCCCUCGCGGAGGCCGGCCCCGAAAUUCAGUGGCGGUCUCGCCGCAGCCUCCCCUGCGUAGUAGCACACCUCGCACCGGAGAGCGGCGUGGCCAUGCCGUGAAACCCCCACUUUUUCAGGUUGACCUCGAAUCAGGUAGGAAUACCCGCUGA